UACGGGGGGGGGCAAGCGUUGUUCGGAAUUACUGGGCGUAAAGGGCUCGUAGGCGCCAACUAAGUCGGAUGUGAAAUCCCCAAGCUUAACUUGGGAACUGCAUCCGAUACUGGAUGGCUUGAAUCCGGGAGAGGGAUGCAGAAUUCCAGGUGUAGCGGUGGAAUGCGCAGAUAUCAGGAGGAACACCAACGGCGAAGGCAGCUCGCUAGGACGGUACUGACGCUGAGGCGCGAAAGCGUGGGGAUCAAACAGG
RNAcentral lists this ribosomal RNA (253 nucleotides) under uncultured bacterium. RNAcentral describes it as "partial 16S ribosomal RNA". It matches the Rfam family "Bacterial small subunit ribosomal RNA", at positions 524 to 776 of the family's 1533-position model. The record is from RNAcentral.